UACGGAGGGUGCGAGCGUUACCCGGAUUUACUGGGUGUAAAGGGCGUGUAGGCGGUCUCUCAAGUCCGAUGCUAAAGACCGAAGCUCAACUUCGGGGGUGCGUUGGAUACUGUGAGGCUAGACGGUCGGAGAGGGUAGCGGAAUUUCCGGAGUAGCGGUGAAAUGCGUAGAUACCGGAAGGAACGCCAAUAGCGAAGGCAGCUACCUGGACGAUUUGUGACGCUGAGGCGCGAAAGCGUGGGGAGCAAACCGG
Molecule: ribosomal RNA, 253 nt
Filed under: uncultured bacterium
Lineage: Bacteria
Description: partial 16S ribosomal RNA
Rfam family: Bacterial small subunit ribosomal RNA
Source: RNAcentral